This 281-nucleotide non-coding RNA is filed under the name Macaca mulatta (Rhesus monkey). Lineage: Eukaryota; Metazoa; Chordata; Mammalia; Primates; Cercopithecidae. The record is from RNAcentral.
GCUGGGCAUGGUAGCGGGUGCCUGUAAUCCCAGCUACUCAGGCUGAGGCAGGAGAAUGGCUUGAACUUGGGAGGCAGAGGAUGCAGUGAGCCGAGAUUGUGCCACUGCACUCCAGCCUGGGUGACAGAGUGGGACUCUGUCUCAAAAAAAAAAAGUUACUCUUUUUUUUUUCUUUUUUGAGAUGUUGUUUCACUUUUGUUGCCCAGGCUGGAGUGCAAUUGGGCCAUCUCGGCUCACUGCAACAUCUGCCUUCCAGGUUCAAGUGAAUUUUCCUGCCUCAG